This 253-nucleotide ribosomal RNA is filed under the name uncultured bacterium. Its description in RNAcentral is "partial 16S ribosomal RNA". It matches the Rfam family "Bacterial small subunit ribosomal RNA", at positions 524 to 776 of the family's 1533-position model. The record is from RNAcentral.
UACGUAGGGGGCAAGCGUUGUCCGGAAUCAUUGGGCGUAAAGAGCGUGUAGGCGGCUCGGUAAGUCCGCUGUGAAAGUCCAGGGCUCAACCCUGGAAUGCCGGUGGAAACUGUCGAGCUAGAAUCCGGAAGAGGAGAAUGGAAUUCCCGGUGUAGCGGUGAAAUGCGCAGAUAUCGGGAAGAACACCCGUGGCGAAGGCGGUUCUCUGGGACGGUACUGACGCUGAGACGCGAAAGCGUGGGGAGCGAACAGG